AAUUCGAUUGAGUUUGAUCAUGGCUCAGAACGAACGCUGGCGGCAGGCCUAACACAUGCAAGUCGAACGCCGUAGCAAUACGGAGUGGCAGACGGGUGAGUAACGCGUGGGAACAUACCCCUCGGUUCGGAACAACUCAGGGAAACUUGAGCUAAUACCGGAUACGUCCGAGGUUUUAAUCGACCUCGGAGAAAGAUUUAUCGCCGGAGGAUUGGCCCGCGUCUGAUUAGCUUGUUGGUGAGGUAAUGGCUCACCAAGGCGACGAUCAGUAGCUGGUCUGAGAGGAUGAUCAGCCACAUUGGGACUGAGACACGGCCCAAACUCCUACGGGAGGCAGCAGUGGGGAAUAUUGGACAAUGGGCGAAAGCCUGAUCCAGCCAUGCCGCGUGAGUGAUGAAGGCCUUAGGGUUGUAAAGCUCUUUUACCCGGGAAGAUAAUGACGGUACCGGGAGAAUAAGCCCCGGCUAACUUCGUGCCAGCAGCCGCGGUAAUACGAAGGGGGCUAGCGUUGUUCGGAAUUACUGGGCGUAAAGCGCACGUAGGCGGAUCUUUAAGUCAGGGGUGAAAUCCCGAGGCUCAACCUCGGAACUGCCUUUGAUACUGGGGAUAUAGAGUCCGGGAGAGGUGAGUGGAACUGCGAGUGUAGAGGUGAAAUUCGUAGAUAUUCGCAAGAACACCAGUGGCGAAGGCGGCUCACUG
This 699-nucleotide ribosomal RNA is filed under the name uncultured bacterium. Its description in RNAcentral is "bacterial SSU rRNA". It matches the Rfam family "Bacterial small subunit ribosomal RNA", at positions 1 to 731 of the family's 1533-position model. The record is from RNAcentral.